RNAcentral lists this ribosomal RNA (43 nucleotides) under ascomycete sp. PB1-R2-A Lr. Its description in RNAcentral is "partial 17S ribosomal RNA". The record is from RNAcentral. Lineage: Eukaryota; Fungi; Ascomycota. RNAcentral also lists the same sequence under 1 other name.
UGGAAGUAAAAGUCGUAACAAGGUCUCCGUUGGUGAACCAGCG